This 482-nucleotide ribosomal RNA is filed under the name uncultured bacterium. RNAcentral's name for it is "bacterial SSU rRNA". It matches the Rfam family "Bacterial small subunit ribosomal RNA", at positions 11 to 507 of the family's 1533-position model. The record is from RNAcentral.
GUUUGAUCCUGGCUCAGAAUCAACGCUGGCGGCGUGCCUCAGACAUGCAAGUCGAACGAUUAAAGCUCUCUUCGGAGAGUGUAUAGAGUGGCGCACGGGUGAGUAACACGUAAGUAAUCUACCCUCGAGUGGAGAAUAACAACCGGAAACGGUUGCUAAUACCGCAUAAUGCAGCGGCACCGCAAGGUGACAGUUGUUAAAGAUUUAUCGCUUGAGGAGGAGCUUGCGGCAGAUUAGCUAGUUGGUAGGGUAACGGCUUACCAAGGCUACGAUCUGUAACCGGUCUAAGAGGACGGUCGGUCACACUGACACUGAAUAACGGGUCAGACUCCUACGGGAGGCAGCAGUCGGGAAUUUUGGGCAAUGGGCGAAAGCCUGACCCAGCAACGCCGCGUGAAGGAUGAAGUAUUUCGGUAUGUAAACUUCGAAAGAAUAGGAAGAAUUAAUGACGGUACUAUUUAUAAGGUCCGGCUAACUACGUG